RNAcentral lists this long non-coding RNA (1328 nucleotides) under Fukomys damarensis (Damara mole-rat). Its description in RNAcentral is "lncRNA (ENSFDAG00000022620.1)". The record is from RNAcentral. Lineage: Eukaryota; Metazoa; Chordata; Mammalia; Rodentia; Bathyergidae.
UACUCUUCCAGGGGAAACAGGAACGCCCUUUGUGCUGGCCCAGCGCCUCGCCUAGCCAGCCGAGGUGGGCAGGGUCAGUGCCAGCCGAAGUCAUGAAACCAACUGUGCCAAGGGAUGCGAGGACAAACUGGCUUGUGCCCAAUCUUCUCAACUACCUUACUUCACAGACAGACUGACUUAUCUGUAAUUGCUCCCCUCUGGCUAAACUAGUGUUCAACUCAGAAAACACGAAGAAUUUUCCCUGGGGCAAUGAGCUUGUCCCAAUUUCCUGCUGACAAGAGUGAGAGACACCAAAAUCUGCUCUGCCUCCUGAACACCUGACCAGCCACAGCCACUCUUCCCUCCUCAGAGUCUCUCAAGUCCCACACCCAAAAUCUGCCCUCCACCUUCACGGGUUCAUGAGGAGUCUCUCAUACCGUCUACCUACCAAUCCAUCUGCCUUUGUCAGAAUCUUUUUUAAAAUUCUUUCUCCGCCAGCCCAAAAGCAAGUAAACAUGGUGAUAACUCGAAAUCUUGGAAGAGUAAAAUCCCAGUUCAGAGAAUUUGAGAAAAGUGAACUCUGGAGAGGACAACGGAGUUUGUGGAAUUAUUCUAGGGAGACUGUUUUACUCUGAUGCCAAGAAGGAGGAACAGAAACUACUGCAGUGGCCGCUAAGGUUUUAAUGGCCGAUUCGGGAGCAAUUUCAGAGGUUUACGUAGAACUUACACUCUUUUCAUUCCCUCAGACAGUCAGUUCUGAAAGGUUAAGUUAGUCUUGCUCUAUUGGUUAUUUUUCUCUCACUAGGAUAAAAUACUUAAAUCUUAAAGGGGGACAGGUUUAUUUUGACUCACGGUUUUGGUGAAUUCAGUCCAUAAUCAGCUGGCUCUGAGGCAAAAAAAGCACGGCGAAGGAAAGCUGCUCAUAUCAUGGCAGCCAAGAAGGAGAGAGAGACGGGGAGGAGCUAGGAUCAAGAAUACAGCCUUCCAGGUCACUCCCUGAUGACGUACCUCUUCCUACCGGGUCCCACCUCCUCACCGCACAUUCAGUUACUGAACUCAUCAGUGAGUGAAUUCAGUGGUGAGUACAGGGCUCCCAUGAUCCAAUCACUUCCAAAAAGCCCACCUCUGAAUACUAAGAUGCUGGGGAGAUAUUUUAGACCAAACUAUAACACUUCCUUUCCGGUUUACAUCUCCUAAUGUCACAGGAUAAUUAUCAAUAAUAUUUCUUUUGACUUUCAUAAAGAUAUGGAGAGAGAGAGCGAGAGACAGACAGAGAGAGAGAGAGAGAGAGAGAGAGAGAGAGAGAGAGAGAGCACUUCCUGGCUUGAAAUACUGUAGAUCACUUCCAG